AAUUAUCCGGAACAAAUGGAAAAGACAGAGAGGUGGAGCUUUGUCCUGAGGCACAGAGAGGGGACCAGGCACCAGCCCGGGGCAUGGAAGGCCCUGUAGGGAAUGCGCCCUCUGUGCCAGGCAGUGUGCUAAGUAAGUACUUUUACAUGUAUUCAGGACAGAGCUAGGAUUUGUAGGGCCUGGUUCUUAUACAAUUUGGGGGUCUUCUUUAAGAAAAAGAAAAGAGGGGCGCCUGGGUGGCUCAGUUGAUUAAGUGUCUGACUUUGACUCAGGUCAUGAUCUCAAAGUUUGUGAGUUCCGUCCCCGCAUCAGGCUCUCUGCUGUCAGCACAGAGCCCACUUCUGAUCCUCUGUCCCCCUCUCUUUCUGCCCCUCCCCUGCUCUCUCUCUCUCUCUCUCUCUCUCUCUCUCAAAAAUAAUAGAAGGAAGGAAGGCAAGGGAAGGGAGGGAAGGAAGGAAGAAAGAAGAGGAAGAGAAAAGAAAAAUCAUGAAUACAAAAUUAGAUGCCAGGACUAGGAAGAGACCAUCCAGUUAAGGAGCCCCGUGGUUGAAGUGUCAUUAGCUUCACGGUAAAUCGGCCUCUGCACGCAUCUCCUUGUUUAACCCUUGCAGCCUUAGAAGGACACGUGGACACGUGUUUAUCCCCACUUUGGGCACAUUAAAGACGGUCCCAAAUUCAUGGUCACUCCUCCCAUCAGAGGCUCUGUGACUGUGUGACCAAUAGAGUAAGGCAGAAAUGACACCGGGACACUUUCUAGCCCAGGCCUUAAUAAGACACCGAGCGCUUUUUCUUCUUGUCCUGGAGACUCCCUCUUGGAGCUCUGAGCCACCAUGUUAGAGGUCCAACCGCCCUGCGGGAAAGACCCUGCGGGGAGGCCCCGAGACUGCAGGGGAGCCAGACAUAAGAGUGAAGCCAUCUUGGGGCACCUGUGUGGCUCAGCCGGUUAAGCGUCCGACUUCAGCUCAGGAUCUCACAGUUCCUGGGUUUGAGCCCCGCGUCAGGCUGUGUGCUGACAGCUCAGAGCCUGGAGCCUGCUUCAGAUUCUGUGUCUCCCUCCCUCUCUGCCCCCACCCCCGACUCAAGCUCUCUCUCUCAAAAAUAAAUAAAUGUUAAGAAAAAAAAAAAGAGCGAAGCCAUCUUGAAUGUCCCCCUCCCCCAGCCCAGCCCAGCCGCCAGCUCAAUACCGCUGAGUGACCCAACUAAUGACACAUGAAAGAGAAUCACCCGGCCAAGCCCCAUCUGAAUUCCUGACCUACAAAAUCGUGAGAUAGAAUAAAACAGUUGUUGUUUUAGCCACUAAGUUUUGGGGUAGCUUUUUAUGCAGCCAUGAUUGAAACACCCCUUUUACAGCCAAAGACAUUACGGCUUAUGGAGGUUACGACUCACCGGAAGCCACACGCCUGGUAAACAUAAGCACCGAGACGUGAACCUAGGGUCAUCUGCUCCGGAUCCUGUUCCUUUAACCGCUGUGCUGUACUGGGGAUUGGUCAGAACUCAUAAUGAUGAUUCUGAUUUAAAUAGUUUGCUGUUUCAGGGCACCUGGGAGGCUCAGUCGGUUAAGUGUCAGACUCUGGAUUUUAGCUCAGGUCGUGGUCUCACGGUUCCUGAAACGGAGCCCCGCAUUGAGCUCCAUGCUGGCAGCACAGAGCCUGCUUGGGAUUCUCUCUCUCCCUCUCCCUCUGCCCCUCCCCUGUGCACAAGAGCUCUCUCUCUCUCUCUCUCAAAAUAAAUA
This 1732-nucleotide long non-coding RNA is filed under the name Lynx pardinus (Iberian lynx). The record is from RNAcentral. Lineage: Eukaryota; Metazoa; Chordata; Mammalia; Carnivora; Felidae.